GCGUUAUUAGAGCGGCCGAUAUCUGAUUAGCUAGUUGGUGGGGUAAAAGCCUACCAAGGCGACGAUCAGUAGCUGGUCUGAGAGGACGACCAGCCACACUGGAACUGAGACACGGUCCAG
RNAcentral lists this ribosomal RNA (120 nucleotides) under uncultured bacterium. RNAcentral describes it as "partial 16S ribosomal RNA". It matches the Rfam family "Bacterial small subunit ribosomal RNA", at positions 215 to 334 of the family's 1533-position model. The record is from RNAcentral.